ACGAUAUAUAAAAAGGUGUGGGACAUUCCAAAUGUUCCAAAAGUGAGCAUUCCACGAAUGGACAACAGUUUGCAGGGUAAAAUAAAACAUUGUCAACAUAUUAUUUUGUGCCACAAGAAGCAGAAUGUUUUAACAGUACAGUAGUUUGAAUAUAUUUGUUGUUAACCUUUAUCAGACCUCUCAGGCACCCACAACCAGCGUCUGAUCGCGAUGGAGCACCAACCCCAUUCCAGGAAGAGGUCCAGUCUGCCCCGGGUCAGAACCACUUCUAUAGCAACUACACAACUGUGUAUGCACUUAUCAUUAUUGAUAGCCAGUCUGAGCCAGAAGACACAAUGGAGCAAAGCACAGAAUACCUGACUGCGGCACACAUUGUUGCAGAACUCUCUGCAAAAAUAACAAAUACAUCUUGCAGCAGGUUCAAUAUUAAUAGAGCCAGUGUGUGCGAUGGAGCAAUCCGCGGCUUCAAAGGUGCCUCAUUCGAUCCCUCUCAUGAGAUGUCAGUUAAGUUCACUGAUGAUGAGGGACACACUGAGGAUGGAGGGGACAAUGGUGGUCCCAAGCGUGAGUUCCUGACCCUCCUUAUGGAAUGCCUGAGAAUGAAGAAAACAUCACGUCAGCAAC
Long non-coding RNA from Gymnodraco acuticeps, 624 nucleotides. RefSeq lists it as uncharacterized. The transcript is spliced from 5 exons. NCBI's taxonomy places the organism in Eukaryota, Metazoa, Chordata, Actinopteri, Perciformes, Bathydraconidae. The record is from RefSeq and is a predicted model, not a curated record.